RNAcentral lists this ribosomal RNA (466 nucleotides) under uncultured soil bacterium. Its description in RNAcentral is "bacterial SSU rRNA". It matches the Rfam family "Bacterial small subunit ribosomal RNA", at positions 60 to 519 of the family's 1533-position model. The record is from RNAcentral.
AGUCGAGCGAGAAAGGGCUUCGGCCCCAGUAAAGCGGCGCACGGGUGAGUAACACGUAGGUCAUCAACCCUCGAGUGGUGGACAACCCUCCGAAAGGAGGGCUAAUACAGCAUGACGCCAGCAAUGGCCAAAGCGGGCCUCUUCAUGAAAGCUCGCGCUCGAGGAUGAGCCUGCGGCCCAUCAGGUAGUUGGUUGGGGUAACGGCCCACCGAGCCUACGACGGGUAGCUGGUCUGAGAGGAUGAACAGCCACACUGGAACUGAGACACGGUCCAGACUCCUACGGGAGGCAGCAGUCGGGAAUCUUCCGCAAUGGGCGAAAGCCUGACGGAGCGACGCCGCGUGAGCGAUGAAGGCCUUCGGGUUGUAAAGCUCUGUGGGGAGGGAAGAAUAAGGGUGAGUUAAUAGCUCAUUUGAUGACGGUACCUCCUUAGCAAGCACCGGCUAACUCUGUGCCAGCANNNNCG